Canis lupus familiaris (dog) is the source of this 8495-nucleotide long non-coding RNA. RefSeq lists it as uncharacterized. The record is from RefSeq and is a predicted model, not a curated record. NCBI's taxonomy places the organism in Eukaryota, Metazoa, Chordata, Mammalia, Carnivora, Canidae. The transcript has 4 exons.
CCGACCUGAUGGUCCUGCGGGGCCCCUCUCACCUGGGAGGACAGAGAUAGCUGUGCUCAAAUGGGAGCUCAGGGGCUGGAGGGGCCCCACACACAGGUUCCUAGACAGCAGUGGCAAGGAGGUGGCUGCCCGGGAAGAGCUGGUGCUUACACAGGAUCCUGGUGGCUAUCUCCCUGCCACCACUUACCUUUGGGUCCUGGGAUGCCCACCUCUCCUUUCUGCCCAGGGGGCCCUGGAAUGGCUCCGUAAGCUGCAGGGGGAGAAGACUGGCCUCAGACAAGGGAUCAUUGGAACUGGGAGGUAGAGGGGUUUGUUCAGAGAAACACAGGAAGGGAGUGGCAGAGUCAGGACCCAAAGAAGACAGAGUUCAGAAUUUAUCAGAUUUUCAGCCUCUCAAGUGUUAAUAACCGGAAGUUUUUUUGGGAGUCUGGUUUCUCCCCCGUGAGACCGGGCAGCAAGGUGUCAGGAAAACGAUCACGGAGGUGCUCUUACUUCGGAAAAAGUCCAUGAGGUCCUCGGUCACGUUGCUGUAGGCAGAGAAGACCUUACUGAUGCCAGGGGGGCCCUGGGGCCCUGGCUGGCCUGGGGGGCCCUGGACGGUGUAGGCCAUCCCUUGCAGCAGGCCCUGACCUAUGUGGGAAGCACCAGAGUGUGGGCACAGGCAGCAGGAGAACAGAGCCCCAGGAUUGCCAAUUCCCAUGCCAUUAUAACCUAGAUGAAGUGGCAGCAAGGGAGAAGCCCCGCUGGCCACUAACUCGCCCAGGCCUCUGCUGCCACGGCCUGUCAUUAGAGGCUUGCUGACGCCAAAGCUGUGCUGAUGAGCUACAGGCAGAGAAGACUUCUUAACCAAGGGCCUGCCCUCAGCCCCAGAACCCAUGGUUGUCAUAAAGACUUCUGAGACACACCACUAGUUAGCUAGGGAAGCAAAGUCCAAGGACCCCAACAAGCCCUGUUCCCUGCAGUAUGGGUCCGCCCUGCCUGGCGCUCCUGAACUAAGCUGGUUGUGAGUGGAGUCUGGGCCUCUUGCCUUCAGUCCCUGCCCAUCUGAUUCUACAAGUGCUGUCCCAGAGCCUGGGCAUGCCGAAAAUGAGAGGGUGAGUUUCUGGACCCUAUAAUUUGAGCUGCUCACGGGCUCCCCCACCUCCAACCUCCCCACAGCACCGAGGCCCAAGGGUCACGACUCACGCUGCAAACUCUCAGACACCCGAACGGCCAGCUCGUUGUAGUCCAGACCUCCGGCAAAGCCAGCCCCAAGUGGUCCACCUUCACCACCAUACAUGCCACCUUCUGCUGCUCCCCCAUAGCCUCGGCCCAGGCCCAUGUCCAGGCCAAAGGCCCCUGCUUCGCCGAGGGAGCCUCCACUGGCUCCUCCUAUGCCCAUGGAAGAGCUGUAGGAGGAUCCCCGGCUGACGGACGCGCUGUGAGAGGAGGACCUGCUGUCCCGGCUGUAGGAGCCAUCCAUGGACACUAGACGGCUGUCCCCAGGCGGCCCCUGUGGCCCUGGAGGCCCUGGCGGGCCCACGAUGAAGCUCCGCACAUCUGGGCCUGCAGGAAGGAGGCCACAUUAGUUGGGGCUUAGGUGUGGGGGUGGAGAGGAAGGGAAUUAAGAGGCCUCUCCCAGGGUCUCGAGGCACUCGCGCAGGAGCAGGAGGGCUGGCGAGGGAAGAACCGGCUCUCCUGCCUUAUAGGGCUCAGGCAUUUGGCCUCCCAGGUUCCUUCCAGCCUCAGCUGCCCUCUUGCAGGGAGGAGCAAGGUCUGGGGAGGGGCACCUACUUGUGAGGUAGCUGAUCAGCUCACUCCGGAAGCUGUCGCUGUUUUCUGCUGCGUAGGUUGCCAGAGCUCCUGAGACGCCUGGAGGCCCUCGAGGACCUGGGGGACCAGGAGGGCCUGGGGGGCCAGGGAUGGAUGACACACCUGCAGCUGAAUGGGAGGCAGAGAACGGUCAGGGAUCGCGCCGCUGGGAAAGCAGAAUUCCUAGCUGUGUGCAGGGGUGCAACUCCUCUUGAGGAGGAGGGGAUCCUGGGGGCCCAGCUCUGGCAUCACCCUGGAGCCACUGCUUAGACCUGCCCUCCCCACUCCCAGUUUGGGGUCUCACUCAGUCCAAAGCAUAUCCCCUUGUCUGCACCCUCCUGCCACAUGACCACACGCUGUUCAUGAGUCCUCUAAGGGCUGUACUUGGGAGCAUGUCUCUCCCAACUAGUCUUCCUGUCAUGGCUGAAAGCACCUCAAAAGCAAAGGGGUUCCUUGUCUGUGCUUCAGGAGGACUGGGUGACUGGUCCAAUAGUUUAACUCUCCAUGGCUGCCCUCCCUGCGCCUUACUGUGCAGGUAAGAAGAGAGGUCUUCCACGCUGAUGCUGGACCACGCGUUGCCUGGGAUCCCUGGGGGCCCAGGGGGACCUGGGGGCCCAAUGAUGCCUCUGUAUUCAGACCCUGAGACAUCAAAGAAGGGCACAGAGUCAGUGGGGGGUCUGGGCCAGGGGCCGUCUGCCUCCUACCACAAGCUCCUGACCAGCCUUACCCUGGAGCAAGGAGAGCAGCUCCUCGUAGGAUGUUCCUGGGAGGCCAGGGGGUCCUGGGGGGCCAGGCAGCCCAAUGCUGAUUCCAGAACCUGAGGAACAAAACCUCAGGUUGUGAUAGAUUCAGAUUGCACAUGUGUAUGCGAAUUGUGUGUGAACCCCAUAGAGGACAGUGCCCCAGACGCUCCUGGCUUCCCCAGCCAGGCUCGGGGACCUGCCCUGGGCCACAGAUGUGAAGGGCUCUGAAAACAGCGCGCUCCCUCUGGGGCCACAUGACGGGGGAGCAUCGGGGGCCAGUGCAGGGAAGUUCAGCACCCACACCCUCUGGGGCCCCGCUGACCAUCUGCCUGCAGUGGGCAGGCCAGGAGGGCGGACACUCACUGGACAUGUAGCUGAGAAUGCGACUGCUCAGCUCGGCGUAGUCCAAAGACUGGAGCGACCAAUCUCCAAUCACAUACUGACGCAGAUACUGCCUCACAUCAUCUCCUGCAAGGACAGGAAGCGCUGGCGUGGGCCCACCCAGGCCACAGGGCUCCCGGGCCACCGCGCGGCCACAGCCAGGUCUGCCCCUGAGUUCCGGGUUCUCCGUCCACAGGGGGAGUCAGCAAGCCUCCAGGUCCCCGACCAGGCACCUGCCCAGUUCCUGGCGCUGGGGACGGGGAGAUGUGCUGGAGAUUCCAGCCGGUAGGGACUCACUGGCCGCUGGGAACGAGGACGAGGGCCUCCUCACUAGCCCUCAGCAGCUCGGGUAGGGGCAGGCCGAGCCCCCAGGGCUCCCACCCGCAGGCCCGCCGUAGGUACUCACGCUGCAGCGCAGCCACAAUGUCCUCCGUAGAGAUGGAGACGGAGGAGCCGAUGCUGUACCCUGAGGCUGUCGGGAAAGAACCUCGAGUUACCUGCUUAGCAAGACUAAGGCAGCAACGCCCUCACUGCUGCAGAACCACCAGGACUGGCCAGCUAGCUGCUCCAUUUGUGGAAAUGAAUGAAUGGGGGAUUGGGAGGCUGUUGUGAACGCAUGAAAAAAACUCGAAGGUGGUUUUGUUUUUGCAUUUGUUUGGUAAGACACGCCGUUUUCCAGAGUAUGCUUUAGCCUAACUCCUGCUAAGAUCCUGCCCACCUUGUUGCCUUUCCACAUCUUAGGACACAUCUGUCAAGCGCAAGAAGGCUCAUUACUCGUGGCUCCGCGGUGUGGCCUCUUCCUAAUCUGAGCAACCCCUUCUUGAAGCUAAUCCCAGUGGCCUGACAGCCAUGAAUUCAGACCUGAACUUCACAUCCAGAAGGAGAUGACCUGCAGCACUUGAUGAGAUGCCUUCCCCACCACAGUCAUGGGCCAAAGCAGGGCCAGCAGGGAGCCCAGACUCCUGGUUACAGAUAGAGAAGCUGAGGACCAGCCUGUGUGGUAGCCGUGAGAAGGUGGGUGUUCGGGGAGUGCAUGGACAUGCAGUCCUGGCUCCAGGGUCAGACUUCUGACCUAGGCCUGGGCCUAUAGACUGCUACCCCCUGCCACACACACACCCCUCUGGCCCCGCUCGCCGCCUCCGGCUCCCACCCACUCCCAGAGCCUCCCCCACCUCCCCGCACUGGUACAGGCAACGGGAUCUGUCAUGUUUAUUUACAUAAGGAGGAGGGGACUGGAGGCUUCCUGAAAUAGCCGAGCUCCAGAAAGCACUGGAGAUGCCCCAGCAGUGUGCGCACGCGCGCGCACACACACGCACACACUCAGGCCCCAGGCACUCACUCUGCAGGUAUUCAGAGAUGUACUGCUGGAUCUCCCGGCCAGAGCUGCUGAUGGAGCCCGGAGGCCCCGGUGGGCCUGGAGGGCCUGGUGGACCUGGCAUGAACAUGGUGCUCGACGAUGACCCCCCUGCAGGAAGGAAAGCUUUCUAAGUCCGACACCCUAGGGUCAAAGAAGGGCCCAGAGACUGCUUCCACAGCCUGAGGAGGGAAGGUCGUUCUUAGUGGAAGAAAUAAGAUAGUGGCAAAGAGGAGGGUCUCUCCAUAGGGAGAAGGGAGUGAGUGCUUGUAGCGAGCACUGUCCGAAAGGGGCACAGAGUCGAGCCUGCCCAGGCCAGACCCUCCCUUCAGCAAUCUGCUCAGCACCCCAGAGGCUCCCUCACCUCUGAACACCUGGCUCCCAGGUCUGUCCUGUGUCAUCUGGCAUCGUUAGCCACCUGUACUGUACCAGUCCUUCCCUCGCACCCCUACCAACUUAAAGGGCUCACAGGCUUAGCACAUCACUGAACCGUGGGUAGGUGGGUGGGUGGGUUGAUGAAUGAAUCGGAAUCCUUGCUUGAAUUAGGGGAGAACUUUGUCACCUUUGGCUCUUACCUUGAGAGAGUCUGCCAGGCAUGCCAGGGACCCCAGGAUCACCUGGAAUCCAAAACCAGAAGCCCUGUUUGCAUCACCUCCUCCAGGAAUCCUUCCGUGGUUAGGCCCAACCACGUUCAUCAGCAUGUGACUCAACAGCUACCCCACGUGUCUCAGUUUCUGCGGUGCUACGGCAGCUCCCUUCAGGUAGAGGCUGUGCUCACGUCCUCAUCCCACUUGCCCUCCAGCCUCUCCUUCCUCCCAAGCCUUUAGCACCAGUAGGUACCCACUAGCUUCUGUUCAGACUCUGGGAGCCAUUCUUGCCUUCAUGCCUCACUGCCUUCCUGGCUGCUCCCCUCACUGACCUUUGUCACCCUUGGGUCCCCGGGGGCCAGGUGGUCCUUGCAGGUUGAGUCCAAGAGAACUGGAGCCUGGUAAGCAACAACACACGGUGCAGUCAGCCAGGGCUGAGGGGCUCUGGCCAGAGCCAGCAACGGGCCAGGGGCUUAGCACUCACCGGAGCCUGAGAAUCCUGGGGGGCCUUGCUCGCCUGGGGACACACCGAGAGGGGUCAGUCAGUGGUGCGCUCCUCCUCCCCAGGCCCAGCCCUGACCCCACCUUCCCUCCUCCCAAAAGGCUCUCCAACACUCAUGAUGCUGAGGCUGCACUCCCUUUGGGCAGCGCUAGAGCUGCCACAGGCCCAUGCGCGCAAACACACACACACUCCCGACUAUUCACAGACACCCACCCUGAUCUACCUGCACUCAUUUGGACAAAACUCAUUUACAGGAAGCUCAAGGCUCUCGGAAGGUCAGCUUUUGCCACCCCCAACCCCCACUGCCACCCCACAUCUUGUUUGGUGCCAGCUUUACUGUACCUUGGUGUCCUCGAGGGCCUGGGGGGCCUGAGGGAAGGAGGCAGACAGUCGUGAGAUGCGUGCCCACCGGGUGCUAUGGCUUCAAGGGGCCCGUAGGGGAAGGGACAGGGCCCCUGUGCUGGAGCAAACACAGGGCCCGAGGUUCCUCACACCUCUCCUCCCGGCAGGCCAGCGCAGAGGCGGCGAUGUGUUGUAGAGCUUCUAGCCACCAUGCCCCCCACCCCACGUUCCAGACUGCCGAGCUCCUGGUGGGAUGUGGCAGGAGGAUGCAUAAAUGCCCCAGUGUAUCCAGCCCCAUCCGACUCUCCUGGCCACCUUGAGCAAGGAGGCUUCUGCGUCCCAAGACGCUACUCACCUUGGUCUCCCUUGGGGCCUGGGGGGCCAGGGGGCCCUGGGGGACCGGAGAAGUAGGUCUCUGCAGAGGAAAAAGAGUGUGGGCACAGAGGUAUUUGUGAGAGAGGAGCACCUACCGUGGAGCCUGGCACACGGCACAUGCUCAGUCCACACCUUUCAGACAGGUGGGUGGGUGGAUGGAUGGAUGGAUGGAUGGAUAGAUAGAAAAAUAAGUGAAAGAAAAAACUAACAAAUGGAUGGAUGGAUAAAUAGAUGAGUGGGUACAUUUUCCAUGAGGGACAAGUUCUAGGCUAAUAUUUGCUCUAAAGUUAUUUCCAUGUGUUUCCGUGUUGUUCUGUCAACAUUUAUCUCCUUUCAAUGUGUAUCCUGCCUACUUAUCAGACUUGGGCUUCCCAAGGACAGAAACCAGGUCCCCAGUCACAAAUGAGUCUGUCCAGAAGCUCCCCAAGGGCAGAACUCGCUCCCUCCCUCUGACCAGCUUAGCUGCGGGGGCGGGGCGGGGGGCUGGUCUGGCUUCCUGUUCUCCCUGCAGAACUCCCGUUCUACAGAGUUCAUGCAAACACACCCUAGUGGCAGGUCUGAGGAGGAAGCCUGACGAGCGGGUCAGGAAGGCCAUAUGCUUAUGACCACAGCAGGUCCAGGGACUGGGGCUGAGGUGGACAACAGGUGGGACUUGACUCUGUAACAUUACCUGAGUUGCUCAGCAAAGAUCCCGGAGGGCCCGGCGGGCCCGGCCGGCCUUCUCCUAGAAAAAGAACCACCAAGACUUUGUAAAGCCAGGCUACGGGCCAAGAACCCUGUGCUGGGGAGAAGUGGCAGGUAAGCUCUUCCCGAGAGCCAGGCCCAGGCUCUGGGUGCCAAUGCUCUCGUAUCUCUUGCCGGGGAGCUCGGCCUUCACCUGUGGGGCCUCAGGGUCCUGGCGGACCCGAAAUGGAAGGUCUUGCAGAAGAGAGCAAGCAAGAGGCCACGCUGAACUCAGGGAGUGCAUCUCGGCUUCCUCACAAUCCCCCACCUUCCAAUGAUCCCUGAGAUGCUUACCUGGAGGCCCUGGUGGUCCAGGUGGGCCUGGGGGACCCCGUAAGUCAACACCUUCUGUGGAGAGAAAAAACAGAAAUGAGUAAAAACUCACAUCAGGCUGUUCUCUGCCAGCCUCAGCCGUCAUGAGGAUCCUCAGGGCCAGGCACCCCGGGGCUACACUCACACCUCAGAGGCCAGCUCUGCUAGGGUGCUCCUCACUCACAAGUGGGGCGGGGCAGGGCUCCAGGCACACUCCCCGGUAGCUGAUGUGGGCACACGGCAGUGGGGGGGGGGCGGCUAAGUACAUGGUGUUGGUGUCAGAUAGCCUACGUUCAAAAUCCUGCUCUGCUUCCAGCUGCUGACUUUGGGCAAGUCCUUGAUCCCUUUCGGCCUUGCUUGCUCUUCUCUAAACCAGAGGCCUAAAACCCACGUCACAGCACGUUGUGCAGACCCAGGGAAGUACUGCGACAUGUGUCUAGCACACAGUGACGGCCGGACAAAGCUGGCGUGGUCUUUGCUACUCGGGCCUCUAAGAAGGAGGCCCGGUGGCAGGUCUGCAUGGGUUCUUUAAAGGACCCUGGGAACAGAAGAACCCAGAACUCACCCUGCAGGUGGGGUCUGUGGCUGAGAACCCAUAGACCCUUGUCACUGUACCAAGUGGGGGAUGCAGUACUCCUGCCAGCCAUCAUCCCAGUGCCCAGCUCACUACAGAGGCCCCACUUGACUCUGGUCCCCCUAGAAUCCCGAGAACCUCUGACAGCUGCCCCAUCCAGUGACUCAUCCCCCAGAGUUGACAAAAGCCCUGCUGUUCCUUCCAGGCUAGCAUUGCCUUUCAGAGGAACUCGUCAUCCUCGUUCACACUGGAGCUCAGGAUGACGCACUGGUACAGCUGCUACAGGCCCCGUCUGUCCUGCUCCCACCCUGGUGUCCCCUCACCCCAGACAACACGGGGGCACUCACGGGUAGAGAGGAGCUCAGAGAUGGAGCUGCUGCUGCCCAUGAACGAUUCGCCAGCAAGUCCUCGCUCGCCGCGUGGGCCUGUGUAAAAGACACACUUCAGCCCAAGAGGAAAUGGACCAACUUUUCCUAAGCCUGUUUUUUGGUGUUUGGAUAGAUGGCUGCACAAGUAUCAGGUCACAGAGAGAGAGAGAGAGAGAGGCAGAGACACAGGCAGAGGGAGAAGCAGGCUCCAUGCACCAGGAGCCCGACGUGGGAUUCGAUCCCGGGUCUCCAGGAUCGCGCCCUGGGCCAAAGGCAGGCGCCAAACCGCUGCGCCACCCAGGGAUCCCGCAACCUGCGCUUCUAAAUGACGGCUGGAAGUCGGUGUGAUUUUGUAGCGAUCUCAUUGCGGUUUGGACAAUGUGGAGAUGGUUUCUCCAAAUAGAUUCCUAGCAUUUUUGUUGCCCUUAAUGCAUUUUAUUAAA